Molecule: ribosomal RNA, 108 nt
Filed under: Wolfiporia cocos
Lineage: Eukaryota; Fungi; Basidiomycota; Agaricomycetes; Polyporales; Phaeolaceae
Description: partial 5.8S ribosomal RNA
Rfam family: 5.8S ribosomal RNA
About the family: 5.8S ribosomal RNA (5.8S rRNA) is a component of the large subunit of the eukaryotic ribosome. It is transcribed by RNA polymerase I as part of the 45S precursor that also contains 18S and 28S rRNA.
Source: RNAcentral
GAAAUGCGAUAAGUAAUGUGAAUUGCAGAAUCCAGUGAAUCAUCGAACCUUUGAACGCACCUUGCGCCCCUCGGUAUUCCGAGGAGCAUGCCUGUUUGAGCGUCGCGG